Molecule: ribosomal RNA, 253 nt
Filed under: uncultured bacterium
Lineage: Bacteria
Description: partial 16S ribosomal RNA
Rfam family: Bacterial small subunit ribosomal RNA
Source: RNAcentral
UACGUAGGGUGCGAGCGUUAAUCGGAAUUACUGGGCGUAAAGCGUGCGCAGGCGGCUUUGCAAGACAUAUGUGAAAUCCCCGGGCUUAACCUGGGAACUGCAUUUGUGACUGCAUGGCUGGAGUGCGGCAGAGGGGGAUGGAAUUCCGCGUGUAGCAGUGAAAUGCGUAGAUAUGCGGAGGAACACCGAUGGCGAAGGCAGUCCCCUGGGCCUGCACUGACGCUCAUGCACGAAAGCGUGGGGAGCAAACAGG